CCUACGGGUGGCAGCAGUGGGGAAUAUUGCACAAUGGAGGGAACUCUGAUGCAGCGACGCCGCGUGAGUGAAGAAGUAUUUCGUUAUGUAAAGCUCUAUCAGCAGGGAAGAAAGUGACGGUACCUGAAAAAGAAGCUCCGGCUAAAUACGUGCCAGCAGCCGCGGUAAUACGUAUGGAGCAAGCGUUAUCCGGAUUUACUGGGUGUAAAGGGAGCGUAGACGGUUGUGCAAGCCAGAAGUGAAAGCCCGGGGCUCAACCACGGGACUGCAUUUGGAACUGUGUGGCUGGAGUGUCGGAGAGGUAGGCGGAAUUCCUAGUGUAGCGGUGAAAUGCGUAGAUAUUAGGAGGAACACCAGUGGCGAAGGCGGCCUGCUGGACUAUGACUGACGUUGAGGCUCGAAAGCGUGGGGAGCAAACAGGAUUAGAUACCCCGGUAGUC
RNAcentral lists this ribosomal RNA (440 nucleotides) under uncultured bacterium. RNAcentral describes it as "partial 16S ribosomal RNA". It matches the Rfam family "Bacterial small subunit ribosomal RNA", at positions 338 to 795 of the family's 1533-position model. The record is from RNAcentral.